GCAGGGAAUAUUGGACAAUGGGGGCAACCCUGAUCCAGCGACGCCGCGUGAGUGAUGAAGGCCUUCGGGUCGUAAAGCUCUGUUGCAGGGGAAGAACACAAUGACGGUACCCUGCUAGAAAGGAUCGGCUAACUUCGUGCCAGCAGCCGCGGUAAGACGAGGGAUCCUAGCGUUGUUCGGAAUUAUUGGGCGUAAAGCGGGUGCAGGUGGCUUGGUAAGUCAGAUGUGAAAGCCUGGGGCUUAACCCCAGAAGUGCAUUUGAUACUGCUGAGCUUGAGUGCUGGAGAGGCUAUUAGAAUUCCUGGUGUAGUGGUGAAAUACGUAGAUAUCAGGAGGAAUACCGGAGGCGAAGGCGGAUAGCUGGCCAGACACUGACACUCAGACCCGAAAGCGUGGGGAUCAAACAGGAUUAGAAACCCGGGUAGUCC
This 428-nucleotide ribosomal RNA is filed under the name uncultured bacterium. RNAcentral's name for it is "partial 16S ribosomal RNA". It matches the Rfam family "Bacterial small subunit ribosomal RNA", at positions 354 to 796 of the family's 1533-position model. The record is from RNAcentral.